This 497-nucleotide ribosomal RNA is filed under the name uncultured bacterium. Its description in RNAcentral is "partial 16S ribosomal RNA". It matches the Rfam family "Bacterial small subunit ribosomal RNA", at positions 28 to 507 of the family's 1533-position model. The record is from RNAcentral.
GAUGAACGCUGGCGGCGUGCCCAAUACAUGCAAGUCGAGCGAACAGACGAGGAGCUUGCUCCCCUGACGUUAGCGGCGGACGGGUGAGUAACACGUGGAUAACCUACCUAUAAGACUGGGAUAACUUCGGGAAACCGGAGCUAAUACCGGAUAAUAUAUUGAACCGCAUGGUUCAAUAGUGAAAGACGGUUUUGCUGUCACUUAUAGAUGGAUCCGCGCCGCAUUAGCUAGUUGGUAAGGUAACGGCUUACCAAGGCAACGAUGCGUAGCCGACCUGAGAGGGUGAUCGGCCACACUGGAACUGAGACACGGUCCAGACUCCUACGGGAGGCAGCAGUAGGGAAUCUUCCGCAAUGGGCGAAAGCCUGACGGAGCAACGCCGCGUGAGUGAUGAAGGUCUUCGGAUCGUAAAACUCUGUUAUUAGGGAAGAACAAAUGUGUAAGUAACUAUGCACGUCUUGACGGUACCUAAUCAGAAAGCCACGGCUAACUACGUG